Macaca mulatta (Rhesus monkey) is the source of this 148-nucleotide unclassified non-coding RNA. It matches the Rfam family "Metazoan signal recognition particle RNA". Rfam says of the family: The signal recognition particle (SRP) is a universally conserved ribonucleoprotein. It is involved in the co-translational targeting of proteins to membranes. The eukaryotic SRP consists of a 300-nucleotide 7S RNA and six proteins: SRPs 72, 68, 54, 19, 14, and 9. NCBI's taxonomy places the organism in Eukaryota, Metazoa, Chordata, Mammalia, Primates, Cercopithecidae. The record is from Ensembl.
GCCGGGUGUGGUAGCGGACGCCUGUAAUCCCAGCUACUUUGGAGGCUGAGGCAGGAGGAUCGCUUGAACCUGGGAGGCGGAGGUUGCAGUGAGCCAAGAUCAGGCCACUGCACUCCAGUCUGGGCAACAGAGUGAGACCCUGUCUCAA